This is a long non-coding RNA of Pristis pectinata (smalltooth sawfish), 1123 nucleotides long. RefSeq lists it as uncharacterized. The transcript has 2 exons. Lineage: Eukaryota; Metazoa; Chordata; Chondrichthyes; Rhinopristiformes; Pristidae. The record is from RefSeq and is a predicted model, not a curated record.
GCCAGCGACUCAGGACAAGUGGAAGACAGAGCCCUUGCAAUCCGAUCCGUCGCAGGGCUCACACACCGGGAGGCCAGCCCUAGCCCACCAACACGACAUGGCCGGAAUCGGACAGCCGCACCGCGAUCAGACGGGACGGGACCCGCCGCGCCACGGGGCCUGCUGAUUCUUACCCAGUUCAGGAAAGGGUAAGGACUGUGAUCCAUAGCGUUUGUCUAUUAUCUGGAUGUAUCACGGCUUGGUACGGCAACUGGUCUGCCCAGGACCGCGAGAAGCUGUAGAGAGUUGUGGACACAGCCCAGCGCAUUAUGGACAUCAGUCUCCCCUCCUUGGACUCCGUCUUUACCUCUCGUUGUCUUGGUGUAGCAGCCAGCAUGAUCAAAAACCCCACCCACCCGGGACAUUCUCUCUUCUCUUCCAUCGGGUAGACGAUACAGGAGCCUGAGGGCAUGUACCACCAGACUUAAGGACAGCUUCUUCCCCACUGUGAUAAGACUAUUGAACGGUUCCCUUAUACGAUGAGAUGGACUCUGACCUCACCAUCUACCUUGUUGUGACCUUGCACCUUAUUGCACUGCACUUUCUCUGUAGCUGUGACACUUUACUCUGUACUGUUAUUGUUUUUACUUGUACUACUUCAAUGCACUUUGUAUUAACUCAAUGUAACUGUACUGUGUAAUGAAUUGACCUGUGUGAUCGGUUUGUAAGACAAGCUUUUCACUGUACUUCGGUACAAGUGACAAUAAUAAACCAAUACCAAUAUUACAGAGAUAAUCUUCAGUGACUGAGCUGGUGGCAAGUUUAUUUGGCAUAGAGAUUGAACAGGGUUGGGGUCAGAAUGAGGACAAUCCAUUCUUUGUUUAUUCCAAGAACCAGUUUUCUCAUUCAGGGUCACCUGGAAAUAUCUGCCUUUGAGAAGUGUUUCAAUUACAUCAAUAAACUAUUGGAGAAGGACUCUUGAUACUUGUUUUUAUGUUUAUAUUUUUCUUGUGAAUGUUGUGUACCUGAUGCUAUGUGUCUGUGAUGCUAUUGCAAGUAAGUUUUUCUUUGUACCUGUGCAUGCAUGUAUUUGUACGUAUGACAAUAAACUCCACUUUGACUGCUGUAGUGGUCAAGAAACAUG